This 252-nucleotide ribosomal RNA is filed under the name uncultured bacterium. RNAcentral describes it as "partial 16S ribosomal RNA". It matches the Rfam family "Bacterial small subunit ribosomal RNA", at positions 524 to 776 of the family's 1533-position model. The record is from RNAcentral.
UACGUAGGGUGCAAGCGUUAAUCGGAAUUACUGGGCGUAAAGCGUGCGCAGGCGGUGAUGUAAGACAGGUGUGAAAUCCCCGGGCUUAACCUGGGAACUGCAUUUGUGACUGCAUCGCUGGAGUGCGGCAGAGGGGGAUGGAAUUCCGCGUGUAGCAGUGAAAUGCGUAGAGAUGUGGAGGAAUACCGAUGGCGAAGGCAGCCCCUGGGCCAAUACUGACGCUCAUGCACGAAAGCGUGGGGAGCAAACAGG